UACAGAGGGUGCAAACGUUGUUCGGAAUUACUGGGCGUAAAGCGUGCGUAGGCGGUCUCGUAAGUCAGGUGUGAAAUCCCAAGGCUCAACCAUGGAAGUGCACUUGAUACUGCGAGGCUUGAGUACUGGAGAGGUUGGUGGAAUUCUUGGUGUAGAGGUGAAAUUCGUAGAUAUCAAGAGGAAUAUUGGUGGUGAAGGCGGCCAGCUGGACAGAUACUGACGCUGAGGCACGAAAGCGCGGGGAGCAAACAGG
This 253-nucleotide ribosomal RNA is filed under the name uncultured bacterium. Its description in RNAcentral is "partial 16S ribosomal RNA". It matches the Rfam family "Bacterial small subunit ribosomal RNA", at positions 524 to 776 of the family's 1533-position model. The record is from RNAcentral.